RNAcentral lists this small nucleolar RNA (132 nucleotides) under Neotoma lepida (desert woodrat). Its description in RNAcentral is "Small nucleolar RNA SNORA70". It matches the Rfam family "Small nucleolar RNA SNORA70". Rfam says of the family: snoRNA U70 seems to be exclusive to mammals and is a member of the H/ACA class of snoRNA which contain H (ANANNA) and ACA box motifs. H/ACA box snoRNAs are involved in the conversion of uridines to pseudouridines (5-ribosyluracil) a constituent of structural RNAs (transfer, ribosomal, small nuclear, and small nucleolar). The record is from Rfam by way of RNAcentral. Lineage: Eukaryota; Metazoa; Chordata; Mammalia; Rodentia; Cricetidae.
CUGUAGCCAAUUGAGCAGACCCAAAUUCCUUUCCUGGUGGGGACAUGGAGUGUGAGGAUUGCAAACAGCCACCUCCUUGGAGUGUAGGCAGCCUGUUGCUUUGGGUUGCCCUGAGGGACUUUCAAGGCAAUU